This 329-nucleotide ribosomal RNA is filed under the name uncultured Oscillospira sp. RNAcentral describes it as "partial 16S ribosomal RNA". Lineage: Bacteria; Bacillati; Bacillota; Clostridia; Eubacteriales; Oscillospiraceae. The record is from RNAcentral.
GGAGUUUGGACCGUGUCUCAGUUCCAAUGUGGGGGCCUUCCUCUCAGAACCCCUACUGAUCGUCGCCUUGGUGGGCCGUUACCCCGCCAACAAGCUAAUCAGACGCGAGGCCAUCUCAGAGCGAUAAAUCUUUGGCAGUCCGAGCCAUGCGACCCAACUGCUUCAUGCGGUAUUAGCACAAAUUUCUCUGUGUUAUUCCCCUCUCCAAGGCAGGUUCCUCACGCGUUACUCACCCGUCCGCCACUAAGAAUUCCCUUCCCUUGUCCGAAAACGCGUUCAGGGGUUCUCCGUUCGACUUGCAUGUGUUAAGCACGCCGCCAGCGUUCAUC